RNAcentral lists this transfer RNA (66 nucleotides) under Danio rerio (zebrafish). It matches the Rfam family "tRNA". From Rfam's summary of the family: Transfer RNA (tRNA) molecules are approximately 80 nucleotides in length. The record is from Rfam by way of RNAcentral. Lineage: Eukaryota; Metazoa; Chordata; Actinopteri; Cypriniformes; Danionidae.
GCCGAAAUAGCUCAGUUGGGAGAGCGUUAGACUGAAGAUCUAAAGGUCCCUAGACAGGAACCGGCA